Molecule: ribosomal RNA, 468 nt
Filed under: uncultured bacterium
Lineage: Bacteria
Description: partial 16S ribosomal RNA
Rfam family: Bacterial small subunit ribosomal RNA
Source: RNAcentral
GACGAACGCUGGCGGCGUGCUUAACACAUGCAAGUCGAACGGAAAGGCCCUGCUUUUGUGGGGUGCUCGAGUGGCGAACGGGUGAGUAACACGUGAGUAACCUGCCCUUGACUUUGGGAUAACUUCAGGAAACUGGGGCUAAUACCGGAUAGGAGCUCCUGCUGCAUGGUGGGGGUUGGAAAGUUUCGGCGGUUGGGGAUGGACUCGCGGCUUAUCAGCUUGUUGGUGGGGUAGUGGCUUACCAAGGCUUUGACGGGUAGCCGGCCUGAGAGGGUGACCGGCCUCAUUGGGCCGUAGAUACGGCCCAGACUCCUACGGGAGACAGCAGUGGGGAAUAGUGCACAAUGGGCGGAAGCCUGAUGCAGCAACGCCGCGUGCGGGAUGACGGCCUUCGGGUUGUAAACCGCUUUCGCCUGUGACGAAGCGUGAGUGACGGUAAUGGGUAAAGAAGCACCGGCUAACUACGUG